Molecule: transfer RNA, 74 nt
Filed under: Mustela putorius furo (domestic ferret)
Lineage: Eukaryota; Metazoa; Chordata; Mammalia; Carnivora; Mustelidae
Also listed under: 1 other name
Rfam family: tRNA
About the family: Transfer RNA (tRNA) molecules are approximately 80 nucleotides in length. Their secondary structure includes four short double-helical elements and three loops (D, anti-codon, and T loops).
Source: Rfam by way of RNAcentral
GCCUGACUGGCUCAGUGGGUAGAACAUGUGAUUUUUUAAUCUCAGGGUUGUAAGUUCAAGCCCCAUGUUGGGCA